This 486-nucleotide long non-coding RNA is filed under the name Dasypus novemcinctus (nine-banded armadillo). RNAcentral describes it as "lncRNA (ENSDNOG00000052710.1)". Lineage: Eukaryota; Metazoa; Chordata; Mammalia; Cingulata; Dasypodidae. The record is from RNAcentral.
GGGAGAGCAGGGAGGUGUCAUGAGGGAAACUCCCAGCUGGGACCAGGAGGCCCAGAUCCGUGCGGGUGAAGUCGCGGACCUGCUGCGGGAGCUGGGGGGCCAACAUCCUCGGUUUCUGGACCCGGGGAGGAAACAAGGGCACAAGAAGUCCGAUCAGCGGAUGGUCUCCGCCAGGAGAGGAGGACGAGACAUGGCUGGAAAGGACUGCCUCCUUCCUGUUUCACCGGGACAAAUUUAUGCAGUCAUAUCAGACUCAUCUUUCCAAGGCAAGCACCAAAGAUCCCACUGGGAGAAGAUCACUCAUCUUCCUUUGAGGACAGAAGAUCUCUACCUCUGAACUGUUAGUUUCUUCCAAAACAGUAUCGGGAAACAUGGAAGACUCCUACAAGGGUCAUGAAUGAUGUCCAAAGAAGUUUGACUCGAGUGUUUGGGUAAGUAACAGUGAAGUAUUUUCAAUAGUAUAAUUGUAACAUUUCCGCAGAUCAU